This is a non-coding RNA of Camellia sinensis, 687 nucleotides long. NCBI's taxonomy places the organism in Eukaryota, Viridiplantae, Streptophyta, Magnoliopsida, Ericales, Theaceae. The record is from RefSeq and is a predicted model, not a curated record.
CUUAGUGUUCACCUAGGAAUACCACACGCAGAGAGAGAGAGAGAGAGAGUGCCGGUAGAGCUCUUGAGAGGAGAAAAACUAAGGUAUUAAAGAGAAGGCCAAUUCUUGUUGUAUUCCAUCAAAUUGAAGAUAUAAAAGGGUUCUUGAAAUUGGAAGAAUAAACUCCAUGAAUUUCAAAGAUUGGAACCCUAAGGUGAGCGUUCUGGAGGUCAAGUCUAGAAGGGGUCUUUAGCCGAUCUACCCUUUUGAAGCCUCCGAGUUGGGGCUAGGCCUGGAAGGCCGUUGUCAAGCUUUUGAUCGUGAAAUAAACUUUUGUUAUAUGCAUAUGUUAUGUAUAAGAUGUUAAGUUACAAGUUAUGUACUGAAUAUGGGUAAAUUAACGUUUUUGCACAUAAAUUUUUGUUCAUAUAGAUGUACAACUCAUUGGACUACUGGUGUUUUUGAAUAUUGUUUCCGCUAGCCCCGAUUAUUUUUUAUUGUACAGGAAUGCCUUUGGUAAUCUCAGAUUACUGGCCGGUUACGACACUAAACCUAUAGAGGCGAGUUUGGGUCGUGACAAACGAAAACACACUUUAGUGGCACUGCACUAGUGGCAUGUUUUUAGAAAAUGUCACAAAAAUAAUAUUUUGUGACACGUUUUUGAAAAAUGCCACAGAACCACAAACAUAUAAGGCUCUAGUGGCAUUU